AAAGAAGUUCCGGCCUUUUGAAGCAACAAUUGACAUGGCUGUACAUACAAGUUUCUUUCUUGGAUGUCUAUUAUCUGUUUUUCUGCUAGCUUUGAUUUCUCUUUUUGGUCAGUUGAAACGGUUAGUCUUGAUAGGUCGACCACUUAUAUUGUUUCGAAGGUUCAAUGAGCAUAUGGUAAAGAAAGGUAUCAAUAGAUUCACCAAUGUAGAUUACAAGAGUAAAGGUUUAUCUAAUGAGGCCUUGUCGCGGCGCUGCAAGUGUUGCCCCCCUCCUCCCCAAGGGCUAGGUGAAGGAGGGUGCAUGUGUGGUUCUUCUGCAGCUCGCAGCGAGGAUUCUUGUGUCCAACCUGCACAAGAAUGCCAAGAAGUCCUUCUCGGAGAUGAUUAAGGACAUGUACCUGCACUACAACGAGAGAUCUUGGCUGCUUUUUUGUGGCUUCCAAACUUGAAAUGUUUGUUUGGAAGUUAGUUUAGUUUUUUGUUGUGGAUUCACAGCUUCUCACAUGUACCGUCCUCUUAGACCUUUAGAUUUUCAAAGAAACUAAAUGAAGAUAUGGUGGUAUGGUCUCAAUAGUACAACUUAAAGCCUUCCAUGCUU
Molecule: long non-coding RNA, 598 nt
Organism: Triticum aestivum (bread wheat)
Lineage: Eukaryota; Viridiplantae; Streptophyta; Magnoliopsida; Poales; Poaceae
Exons: 2
Source: RefSeq, a predicted model, not a curated record